UACGAAGGGGCGAGCGUUGUUCGGAAUUACUGGGCGUAAAGGGCGCGCAGGCGGCCUUAGAAGUCAGAUGUGAAAGCCCCGGGCUCAACCUGGGAAUGGCAUUUGAUACUCUGAGGCUGGAGUACGGGAGAGGAGAGUGGAAUUCCCAGUGUAGAGGUGAAAUUCGUAGAUAGUUGGGAAGAACACCGGUGGCGAAGGCGGCUCUCUGGGCCGUAACUGACGCUGAGGCGCGAAAGCGUGGGGAGCAAACAGG
This 253-nucleotide ribosomal RNA is filed under the name uncultured bacterium. RNAcentral describes it as "partial 16S ribosomal RNA". It matches the Rfam family "Bacterial small subunit ribosomal RNA", at positions 524 to 776 of the family's 1533-position model. The record is from RNAcentral.